UGGGGAAUAUUGCACAAUGGGCGAAAGCCUGAUGCAGCGACGCCGCGUGAGGGAUGGAGGCCUUCGGGUUGUAAACCUCUUUCAGUAAGGGUGAAGGCUCUCUUUUGUGGAGGGUUGACAGUACUUGCAGAAGAAGCGCCGGCUAACUACGUGCCAGCAGCCGCGGUAAUACGUAGGGCGCGAGCGUUGUCCGGCAUGAUUUGGCGUAAAGGGCGCGUAGGCGGCGUGUCGCGUCUGCUGUGAAAUUCCAGGGCUUAACUUUGGGAUUGCAGUAGGUACGGGCGUGCUAGAGUGCAGUAGGGGAGAUAGGAAGUCCUGGGGUAGCGGUGGAAUGCGCAGAUAUCAGGAGGAACACCGGUGGCGGAGGCGGGUCUCUGGGGUGUUACUGACGCUGAGGAGCGAAAACGUGGGGAGCGGACAGG
RNAcentral lists this ribosomal RNA (422 nucleotides) under Verrucomicrobiota bacterium. RNAcentral describes it as "Verrucomicrobia bacterium partial 16S ribosomal RNA". It matches the Rfam family "Bacterial small subunit ribosomal RNA", at positions 355 to 776 of the family's 1533-position model. Lineage: Bacteria; Pseudomonadati; Verrucomicrobiota. The record is from RNAcentral.